CCGUGCGGCAUCUAUAAUGCAGUCGAGCGGACAGAUGGGAGCUUGCUCCCUGAUGUUAGCGGCGGACGGGUAAGUAACACGUGGGUAACCUGCCUGUAAGACUGGGAUAACUCCGGGAAACCGGGGCUAAUACCGGAUGCUUGAUUGAACCGCAUGGUUCAAUUAUAAAAGGUGGCUUUUAGCUACCACUUACAGAUGGACCCGCGGCGCAUUAGCUAGUUGGUGAGGUAACGGCUCACCAAGGCAACGAUGCGUAGCCGACCUGAGAGGGUGAUCGGCCACACUGGGACUGAGACACGGCCCAGACUCCUACGGGAGGCAGCAGUAGGGAAUCUUCCGCAAUGGACGAAAGUCUGACGGAGCAACGCCGCGUGAGUGAUGAAGGUUUUCGGAUCGUAAAACUCUGUUGUUAGGGAAGAACAAGUACCGUUCGAAUAGGGCGGUACCUUGACGGUACCUAACCAGAAAGCCACGGCUAACUACGUGCCAGCAGCCGCGGUAAUACGUAGGUGGCAAGCGUUGUCCGGAAUUAUUGGGCGUAAAGCGCGCGCAGGCGGUUUCUUAAGUCUGAUGUGAAAGCCCCCGGCUCAACCGGGGAGGGUCAUUGGAAACUGGGGAACUUGAGUGCAGAAGAGGAGAGUGAAAUUCCACGUGUAGCGGUGAAAUGCGUAGAGAUGUGGAGGAACACCAGUGGCGAAGGCGACUCUCUGGUCUGUAACUGACGCUGAGCGCGAAAGCGUGGGGAGCGAACAGGAUAGAUACCCUGGUAGUCCACGCCGUAACGAUGAGUGCUAAGUGUUAGAGGAUUUCCGCCUUAGUGCUGCAGCAAACGCAUAGGCACUCCGCUUGGAUACGUCCAGGACUGAACUCAAGGAAUUGAACGGUGUCCUGCCUAUCGGUGGAGCCAUGUGUAAUACGAGCCCAGGAGACUACCAGGCUAGACUAUCAUCU
RNAcentral lists this ribosomal RNA (951 nucleotides) under Bacillus sonorensis. Its description in RNAcentral is "bacterial SSU rRNA". It matches the Rfam family "Bacterial small subunit ribosomal RNA", at positions 40 to 993 of the family's 1533-position model. Lineage: Bacteria; Bacillati; Bacillota; Bacilli; Caryophanales; Bacillaceae. The record is from RNAcentral.